Molecule: long non-coding RNA, 769 nt
Filed under: Cicer arietinum (chickpea)
Lineage: Eukaryota; Viridiplantae; Streptophyta; Magnoliopsida; Fabales; Fabaceae
Description: long non-coding RNA (CARI_LNC003085)
Source: RNAcentral
UUCGUUAUUUGAUCAUUAUCCAACAGUUAAGCAGCAAAUUGUACUUGUUUUCUGAUGUUGUUGAUCUUUUACUACCAAUCCUAGAACCCAUGCUCAGUUAUCUCCACAUAUCUAUUUACUACAAUUUUCCUUAAAAACUGGAUCAAAAGAAGUCUGAUCAGACGAAGUUUGAUCAGACGAAGUCUGAUAAGAGGGAGAACUAUAUUGUAUGGAAAAUUGGAUCUUAGAUAAUCUGAUUAGAAGAAGAAGACUACAUAAGAGGGAAAUCUGAUAAGAGGAAGUCUGAUAAGAAGAAAACUACUUCAUAUGAAAAUCUAAUCAGAGGAAGAACUAGAUUAGAGGGAGUCUCAAUCAUAGGUAGUAUGAUCAGAAGGAAAAACAUUAUCUAAGGAAAUCUAAUUAGAGAAGUAUGGAUAAAGGAAAUAUGGAUUAGAGGAAAUCUAUAUCAGAGGAAGUCUGACUAGAUGAAGUCAAGAUGGAUAAAGUUUGAGUCAAAUAUAAUCUGAUUAGAGGAAUUCAAUAUCAGAGGAAAUUUGAUUAGGGGAAGUUUGAUUAGAGGAAAUCUGGAUCAAAUGUAAUAUGAAUAGGGGAUUUUAAUAUCAGAGGAAAUCUAAUCAGAAGAUUUUUUAUUAGAGGAAGUCUGGAUCAGAUGUAAUCUGAGUAGAAGAAAUGUAAUCAGAAGAAUUCUAAUUAGAGGAAGUCUGGAUCAGAUGUAAUCUGAGUAGAAGAAAUGUAAUCAGAAGAAUUCUAAUUAGAGGAAGUUUGGAUC